GUGGGGAAUAUUGGACAAUGGCCGGAAGGCUGAUCCAGCCAUGCCGCGUGCGGGAUGACGGCCCUAUGGGUUGUAAACCGCUUUUGCCGGGGAGCAAUAAGGCCCACGCGUGGGCCGACGAGAGUACCCGGCGAAUAAGCAUCGGCUAACUCCGUGCCAGCAGCCGCGGUAAUACGGAGGAUGCAAGCGUUAUCCGGAUUUAUUGGGUUUAAAGGGUGCGCAGGCGGCUUGCUAAGCGGGAGGUGAAAUGCCGGCGCUCAACGUCGGAAGUGCCUCCCGAACUGGUGGGCUGGAAUGACUCUGCCGUGGGAGGAAUGUGUAGUGUAGCGGUGAAAUGCUUAGAGAUUACACAGAACACCGAUUGCGAAGGCAUCUCACGAAGGGUUGAUUGACGCUGAGGCACGAAAGCGUGGGGAUCAAACAGG
This 425-nucleotide ribosomal RNA is filed under the name uncultured rumen bacterium. Its description in RNAcentral is "bacterial SSU rRNA". It matches the Rfam family "Bacterial small subunit ribosomal RNA", at positions 354 to 776 of the family's 1533-position model. The record is from RNAcentral.